Molecule: non-coding RNA, 295 nt
Organism: Misgurnus anguillicaudatus (oriental weatherfish)
Lineage: Eukaryota; Metazoa; Chordata; Actinopteri; Cypriniformes; Cobitidae
Source: RefSeq, a predicted model, not a curated record
UUCAGGAUGAGUUUAAAGAUGAAUAUUUGAUGAAUAACUCACGUUUCUUGCUAUGAGCUCAGUCUUUUACGUUGUUGUUCAGCAUCAGUUGUGGAGAUCAGAUUGAUCAGAUUCACCUCUGCAGCUUCAUCAUGGAUCAAACACAAACAUCAACACAUGAAGAUUUUUCUCCAGGAUGCAGUUCAGAUCACCAGAAGAGAUCAGAUUCAGAGUUCAGCUGUGUGUCUAUGAAGAGUGAUUGGUCUAUGAAUCAUCCAAUAGAGUUUAAGAAUGAAGAGACAAGACCCGCACACAG